AUUGAACGCUGGCGGCGUGCUUAACACAUGCAAGUCGUGCGGUAACAGGCGUAGCAAUACGUGCUGACGAGCGGCGAACGGGUGCGUAAUACAUGGGAAUCUGCCUUUUAGUGGGGAAUAACCCGGCGAAAGCCGGGCUAAUGCCGCAUAAGAUCUUCGGAUGAAAGCGGGGGAUCGUAAGACCUCGCGCUGAUAGAUGAGCCCAUGCCGGAUUAGCUAGUUGGUGAGGUAACGGCUCACCAAGGCGACGAUCCGUAGCUGGUCUGAGAGGACGGCCAGCCACACUGGGACUGAGACACGGCCCAGACUCCUACGGGAGGCAGCAGUGGGAAUAUUGGACAAUGGGGAAACCCUGAUCCAGCGACGCCGCGUGUGUGAAGAAGGCCUGCGGGUUGUAAAGCAC
Molecule: ribosomal RNA, 403 nt
Filed under: uncultured bacterium
Lineage: Bacteria
Description: bacterial SSU rRNA
Rfam family: Bacterial small subunit ribosomal RNA
Source: RNAcentral